Molecule: non-coding RNA, 30 nt
Filed under: Mus musculus (house mouse)
Lineage: Eukaryota; Metazoa; Chordata; Mammalia; Rodentia; Muridae
Source: RNAcentral
GAAAAACAAGUCUUUAUUCCUGCGAGUUUG